GCUGCCUUGGCUCAGUAGGUAGAGCACGUCCUUGGUAAGGACGAGGUCGGCGGUUCGAAUCCGCUAGGCAGCU
This 73-nucleotide transfer RNA is filed under the name Clostridiales bacterium. Its description in RNAcentral is "tRNA-Thr". It matches the Rfam family "tRNA". From Rfam's summary of the family: Transfer RNA (tRNA) molecules are approximately 80 nucleotides in length. Their secondary structure includes four short double-helical elements and three loops (D, anti-codon, and T loops). The record is from RNAcentral. Lineage: Bacteria; Bacillati; Bacillota; Clostridia; Eubacteriales.